RNAcentral lists this ribosomal RNA (1623 nucleotides) under Triticum aestivum (bread wheat). Its description in RNAcentral is "partial small subunit ribosomal RNA". Lineage: Eukaryota; Viridiplantae; Streptophyta; Magnoliopsida; Poales; Poaceae. The record is from RNAcentral.
AUGGCGUGGACGCGCUACCACGCCUCCUCGACGCAUCCUCCUUCAAUCCCCGCUCGCCGUCGUCCCAAGUCCGGCGCCGACGAUGCCCCCUUUCCUCCAUGGGUCCUGCUCGACGACCGCGCAUACCUCGCCGGCGAAUCCAACCACACCACGGCCGUCUCCCGCACAAGGCACGGCGACCAGAUCCAAGCCACCUUCUUCCUCGCCGACCCGCCGCUCGUCUCCUACUUCGCCGUCUCGUGCGCCGCCGAGCUUGGCUGCGAGCCCAGGGUCCUCUACACAGAGGCCAACCUCGUCCUCCUCGUCUCGGUGCCCGGCGACCCCCGCAACGCCAUCGACCCCCGGAAGAACGACUUCUACGUCUACGAGGUGGACGACGACGCCGGCGCCGGCGGCGGCCCUCCCAAGGCCACACUGACGCUGCUUCCGCACCCCCCGCCCGACUUGUUCCCCUUCCCUCGGGACAGAUGCUACUACUUCCAUGACUGCCAGGUAGGACUCCUGCGCCACCGCAGGAACUCCGACGGCGGCGGCGGCGGCGGCUUUUAUCUUCGCCAGCACCGUCCCAGAGCCUAUGACGCCUACAUCGUCGCCGCGCUCUGUACACGGCUAACCUUCCCGGAGACGUUAGGCCUUUACACCUACGUCUCCGACACCGAGGUGUGGAGCAGCAAACCAGCCUCAUUCCCAGACGGCGGCAAACUGCCCCGAGCCGCCCUUCGAUGUGAUAUCACCAUCGGAGGAGAAGCCGGCACCAUGGCCUGGGUCGAUCUCAUGCGGGGUAUCAUCCUAUGUGAUGUGCUCCCACUCGACGACGACGCCAAGACGCUUCGCUACAUCCCUCUGCCGGACCCCAUCCGGCCAGACGACACCAUCGACGAAUCUGGAGGCAUGUACCGGGACGUCGCCGUCGUCGGCAGCCGCAUCAAGUAUGCUGAGGUGAAGAUGCACGUCAGGCCGGGCUCGGCCGGCCCGAAAGGCUCCUUCACCAUCGAUGGCUGGACCGCCGUCGUAUGGAGCAGGCCGGCCAAUUCCUUCAAGGAGUCGACCACCUGGGGCAAGGACCAUGAGGUCCAUGCUCACCAGGUCUCUUUCGUUGACGGCAAAAACAAGACGGCGCCAGGCUUUGAGUUGCUCCCGGCUGUGGUGGAUCACCAGGGCAACCCGCAGCCGACCUUGGUGGGGAUCCACGUUGGCCAUCCCAAGCUCAGCCUGAGCGUCGGUGACAACACCCUUUACUUGAUGGCCAAGGUCAACCGCUGGUACGACAAAGCAUGGGUGAUCGCUGUCGACAUGAAGAACAAGAGGCUGCGGGGAGUGGCCGAGUUUGGUGGAGCACCAAGGUGCUCGGCGUUUCUCCAUGCCUAUAGGCAAAGCAGGAUCUCGGAGCAUCUCAAUGUCUCCCAAGGUACAAAGAGUCACCUGAAACGACCAGGGAUGCCACUGCCACAUGGAAGCUCUCACAAGAAGCCAGAGAUCCCUCCACAUCAUGUGAUGCAUCACUGUCCCAGUGGACAAAACCCCAGGGCGACAUGGCCCACAUUUCCCGCACAGACUAUUGAUGAUGAGGAUUAUGAUGAUGAUGAACGGACAAGGAUGGCAGACGACAUGGACUUGGAAUAA